Molecule: long non-coding RNA, 1671 nt
Filed under: Sus scrofa (pig)
Lineage: Eukaryota; Metazoa; Chordata; Mammalia; Artiodactyla; Suidae
Description: lncRNA (ENSSSCG00000054730.1)
Source: RNAcentral
UAUGCCGCGGGAGCAGCCCAAGAAAUGGCAAAAAAAAAAAAAAAAAAAAAAACAGAAAUUUAAGUUCUGUAACAUCCCUGUUUUAUUCUCCAAUGGUUGCUUGCUGGGAUUGCUGUUUAUUUUAGAAAAUAGUCAUUACUGAAAUUAUACAUAUUGCAAACAUAAAUAAUAGUACUUAUAUGACACUGCUUUGUUAAUGUCUUGUUACUAUAUGGUUCUUUUUAUUAGCAUUUUUAAAAAUGUACUUUCUAUCUCUGAGAAGCUCUCUAAACUCAAUUUUUUAAGGUGACCUCAAGGAAGAUGUGAAAGAAGAUACUUCUACUGGUUGCUUUCCAUGCGAAAGUGUUUUUAUAAUCAGAAAAAUAAAGCUUUUCAUUCUUCUUGUACAAAAAAAUAAAAAAAUAUGAAAAAUGUUCUUAAGAAGGUAUAAAUCACCCUCUACUAAGUCUUGAGAUCAGCCUGGAAUAUGCUCUCAGUUCCCAGUAUGGGAUGGGUCACAAAAAUAAGCUUAUUGAUUGGCCUUUUUCUGUGGUGUGCCUUUAAAUUCCCAAAUUUCAGGGACACUCACCUUUAAAUAAAAAUUGAAAAGCACAUUCCUAAGUCAAAUAGAAAUUAUCCAGGUUAUUGAUCAUUUAAGGUUAUGUAUAUAUAUGUUCUUCAGUUAGCAUGAAUAAUUUAGAACGGACUGGUUUCAAAUAAAGGGAAGAUACAAUUACCUGUUAGUCUAUUAAGCCUUAUUUAUUUUGUGAUGUUAAUCAGGAAUCAAGAAAUUGCUUUGCAAGAAUAGCUUAUGUUUUAUAUAAUUUACCUGUGAUGUAUAAUUUGUUUUCUCUCAAAUAUAGAUUUUUCUUUUAAUUUAUCUCCUUACAGGAUUUAGAAUAAGGCAACAAUGAAAAUCAUUUAAGACAUAUAGUUAAAAAUAACAGACAUGAUAGAAAUGUUUUUCUUAAAUUGCAGCCAAAAUUAUCUUUUUCCUGUCCUUCCCCUCUUUACAACCUUUUCAUGGCUUUUCAUUGCCUUUAACCUUCAGAUUUCACUUUAACAUCUCUUUUGUUCAAUCAGACUUGGUUUUAACCCUCUAGACCAGACCAUGUGGCUUGUGAUUCCUCUAAUGUAGGAUUUACUACAUUGUGUUGUGGUUGGUUGAUUGGUGUUCUGUCUCAUGUGCUUGAUCCUGUCAUCUGAUGAUGGAACCAUGUGUGUUUUCCUCACCAUUGCGUUCCCAGCCUAGGGUGUAGUAUCUGGUCUCAUUAAAUAUUUGAUGAAUAACUGGAUAUAUGAAAGGAAAGUUACAGGGAACGUUGAAAACAGGAAAGUAUUCAUUCGGAUUUUGCAAUAAAGAUGUACAUGAUCUUAAUGCACAAUAAUAAUUUGCAACACCACAAUAUUGCAAUUACAAUACCAGAGUUUGUAUAACAGGAAAGAUGCUGGUAUCCUAUGAAAAAGUGAAAUGUAGAGUUCCCGUAGUGGCUCAGUGGUUAACGAAUCUGAGUAGGAACCAUGAGGUUGCAGGUUCGAUCCCUGGCCUUGCUCAGUGGGUUAAGGAUCCACUGUUGCCGUGGUGUAGGUUGCAGACGUGGCUCGGAUCCCAUGUAGCUGUGGCUCUGGCGUAGGCCUGGGGCUACAGCUCCGAUUAGACCCCUAGCCUGGGAACCUCCAUAUGCCGAGGGA